GACGGGACCGCACAAGCGGUGGAUGAUGUGGAUUAAUUCGAUGCAACGCGAAAACCUUACCCACCUUUGACAUGGCAGGAAUCCCGAAGAGAUUGGGAGUGCUCGAAAGAGAACCUGCACACAGGUGCUGCAUGGCUGUCGUCAGCUCGUGUCGUGAGAUGUUGGGUUAAGUCCCGCAACGAGCGCAACCCUUGCCAUUAGUUGCUACGAAAGGGCACUCUAAUGGGACUGCCGGUGACAAACCGGAGGAAGGUGGGGAUGACGUCAAGUCCUCAUGGCCCUUAUAGGUGGGGCUACACACGUCAUACAAUGGCCGGUACAGAGGGUAGCCAACCCGCGAGGGGGAGCCAAUCCCACAAAGCCGGUCGUAGUCCGGAUCGCAGUCUGCAACUCGACUGCGUGAAGUCGGAAUCGCUAGUAAUCGCGGAUCAGCAUGUCGCGGUGAAUACGUUCCCGGGUCUU
RNAcentral lists this ribosomal RNA (462 nucleotides) under uncultured Allobrachymonas sp. RNAcentral describes it as "bacterial SSU rRNA". It matches the Rfam family "Bacterial small subunit ribosomal RNA", at positions 917 to 1381 of the family's 1533-position model. Lineage: Bacteria; Pseudomonadati; Pseudomonadota; Betaproteobacteria; Burkholderiales; Comamonadaceae. The record is from RNAcentral.